Molecule: long non-coding RNA, 651 nt
Organism: Gadus macrocephalus (Pacific cod)
Lineage: Eukaryota; Metazoa; Chordata; Actinopteri; Gadiformes; Gadidae
Exons: 2
Source: RefSeq, a predicted model, not a curated record
AGGUUAAAACAUAUUCUUGGUAGGUGCAACCCAAAGUAGGUCAACUAGCAUACGUGCUGAAAAUCGACUCCUGUGCUGCAGGUCAUCCAUACUCAGAGGCUUGGAGAAACCCCUUGAAUUUACAUCAUGGCCAAAGAAGAUGGAUAAGUAUAACUGCACAAUGUUUGCAUAAUGUAAAUCAAGUGUACAUUAUUGUCUGUGGAUUGUAAGCAAAAGUGAUUCAUUUUUAUUAUCACAAGUGUAGUGUGUUAUUUGCUUGUCAACUUUGACAAAAUGUUCAGCUUGUCAGAAUCCUGCUCACAAGCAGAAUGGGAUGCAGUCGAAUCCGGUGCUAGACCGAAAGAUACACUGUACCAUGGGGACACUGUACCUGUACCAUGGAGAAAUGCAAGUGGCUAAUGCCAACAAAUGUCUAAAGGCCCUCCUCCACCACCUCCUCCUCCGGCUUAUCUCCAUCCGCCUCCCUCAGGAGGACAUGAGGCCCUCAAGGCAGGAUCUCCAGCCAUAGUCACCAUACCACCAGCGUCUAGACACAUUCAAGGAGAAACCAUCUCCCUGCAGACUUCAUGGAUCCAUCAUCCCAUGACAUCAUUUGAUGGUGUCUAAUCGCCAAAUGUGUUGCUGUCAUUAGAUGUUGUGGUUCAUUUUAAA